Molecule: ribosomal RNA, 758 nt
Filed under: uncultured bacterium
Lineage: Bacteria
Description: bacterial SSU rRNA
Rfam family: Bacterial small subunit ribosomal RNA
Source: RNAcentral
AGAGUUUGAUCAUGGCUCAGAAUCAACGCUGGCGGCGUGCCUAACACAUGCAAGUCGAACGAGAAAGUGGAGCAAUCCAUGAGUAAAGUGGCGCACGGGUGAGUAACACGUGACUAACCUACCCUGGAGUGGGGGAUAACUGAGGGAAACCUUAGCUAAUACCGCAUAAUACCUACGGGUCAAAGGAGCAAUUCGCUCUAGGAGGGGGUCGCGGCCGAUUAGUUAGUUGGCGGGGUAAUGGCCCACCAAGACUGUGAUCGGUAUCCGGCCUGAGAGGGCGCACGGACACAUUGGAACUGAAACACGGUCCAGACUCCUACGGGAGGCAGCAGUGGGGAAUUUUGCGCAAUGGGGGAAACCCUGACGCAGCAACGCCGCGUGGAGGAUGAAGUCCUUCGGGACGUAAACUCCUUUCGAUCGGGACGAUUAUGACGGUACCGGAAGAAGAAGCCCCGGCUAACUUCGUGCCAGCAGCCGCGGUAAUACGAGGGGGGCGAGCGUUGUUCGGAAUUAUUGGGCGUAAAGGGUGCGUAGGCGGUUUGGUAAGUCUUGUGUGAAAUCUACAGGCUCAACUUGUAGUCUGCACGAGAAACUGCCGGGCUUGAGUGUGGGAGAGGUGAGUGGAAUUUCCGGUGUAGCGGUGAAAUGCGUAGAUAUCGGAAGGAACACCUGUGGCGAAAGCGGCUCACUGGACCACAAACUGACGCUGAUGCACGAAAAGCUAGGGGAGCAAACAGGAUUAGAUACCCACGUAGUCC